GCUCAGUACUAGAUGUGGCACCUGAAUGGCAGCCAGUUCCUUCCUCACAAUGACUCUGCCAUUUGUAAAGGCUGGAAAAAUACGUUAUGGUUGGUAUAGCCUAUCCACAGCAGGCUAUCUCACAGACCCACCUCACACUUACAUCUACUCUGGUCAUAUUCGUGAUGUGAACUUGAGAAUUCAAAAGUGCAUUAUUCUGUUUGUCACCUAGAUAAAGUCUACCUAUAUAGCAAGGAGGAAAAAGAAGGCAUAGGAGGCAGAAAGUGCUCUCCAUUGAUUCUUAGGUACAUCCACACCUUGGUUCUACCUUCCUUCUCUUUCUUGGAAUAAGUCAUUCCUUUUAGCUUGAACUACUUGGAGAUAUUUCCUGUCCCUUGUAAACAAAUAACCUGAAACAAGAAUAUAGCAGAUCCUGGACUAAGGUAAUAGGUGAAAACCAGGUAAAUCUAGUCAAUGAAAAUAAAGCCAGAGCAAUGAGGAUUUUGCCUUUGCAUAAUAAAAC
RNAcentral lists this long non-coding RNA (502 nucleotides) under Homo sapiens (human). RNAcentral's name for it is "HSALNT0371536". Lineage: Eukaryota; Metazoa; Chordata; Mammalia; Primates; Hominidae. The record is from RNAcentral.